Canis lupus familiaris (dog) is the source of this 73-nucleotide non-coding RNA. Lineage: Eukaryota; Metazoa; Chordata; Mammalia; Carnivora; Canidae. The record is from Rfam.
GCUUGGCUGGCUCAGUCAGUAAAGCAUGAGACUCUCAAUCUCAGGGUCAUGAGUUCAAGUCCCACUUUGAGUG